Long non-coding RNA from Drosophila yakuba, 1279 nucleotides. RefSeq lists it as uncharacterized. Lineage: Eukaryota; Metazoa; Arthropoda; Insecta; Diptera; Drosophilidae. The transcript is spliced from 2 exons. The record is from RefSeq and is a predicted model, not a curated record.
GGGGUUGAUAUUUUUUUCAUUUUUUUAUUAGUCUUGGAAAUUUUUAUAGAGUCGGCCACGCCCACUCGAACGCACACCAACCGCAAAAAACUGUUACUGUUGAAGAGUCUCCUUGGCACUUCCACUAGCUAAGUAACGGGUAUCAGAUAUUCGGGGAACUCGACUACAGCGUUUUCUCUUGCUGUUAUAGUAUUCGUGCAACGAGCAUCGCAUGUAUGAAUGCCUCGUCACUUUUACAGCAGUCUAACAUCUUGACAUCUUUUGCAAUUUUCUCCAACAAUAACACAAAUAUAAAUCAGUACAAGUUUUAUUUUUAAGUAAACCUUUUGAUUAAAUAUUUUAGUGUAAUAUAUAUACUUAUUUAUAUAAUUAAAACUAAUAAAAAAGUAAAAACAAAAAAUAAAACAUCUUAAAAAAAUAUAAAAACAACAAUACAUCGUUUUAUUUGGGAAAUUUUUUUGAAAAAAAAUGUAAUUCAGGGCUUUGAAAUUACCCUCAAUUUAGGAACAUUUUUCAAAAUUUUUUUUUUAAAUGCUCUCGAUUUAAAGUGCACCUAUACUUUAAUGGAAAUAAUCCCAAUGCAAGAAAAUUUGCCAUACAUUUCAGAAAAUGGCCUACUUCAAAGUCAACCUACCAUAAAACUAAAGCAAUAUUAUGCUCUCUUUUGAGUGUUAAUUUUUCUUAAAUUGAGCGCAAGUUGGUAAUGGCUCCUUUUUAGGGAUAUUUUCUGAAUUUACAGUGUAAUUUUUAGGGGGAUUUCGGGUAAGCAUUUUUAUGUGUGUAAAAUACUUCGCUUAUUGGGUAGAUAAAAAACCUAUAGAUACGAGUAUAUAAAAUCAUCUCUUGUAAGAGCAUCAAGUAAGCAAAACGUACGACCAAGGAAAGGGACCAAUCAGAAGGUUCUAAAAAAAUAUGAUGUUAUGUAUGCAUAGGACUCCACUUGUUUGAGGAUUGUGAUUUUUUUACAAUUACCUGUGAAGUAAUAGGGUAUACUAGAUUUCCUGAAAAAUAUGUAAAAGGUUAAAGCAUUUACAAAAAAUAAAAAAACAUGUAUGUAAGGUAUUAAAGCCAGUUUAUUAAUAGAAUUAUGCUGGAUGUGUAACAAAAGCUUGCGGGAUGACAAUUAACUGAGAUGGCGCCUCCUCGGCUCUGCUGGCGAUGGCUGCAACUUGAAGACUCAACGACUCGACGACUUGACCCUCCGACACACCAACUUAUAUGCUCGGACUUGAUCCCUCGACGACUACUUUCAACUUGACAACUGGACUCUAACUUUUUA